UUCACUAACUUUUGGGUAGUUCUUGGUCAUUUUUCCUUCUGCGAUUCUGUAAAACACUUCCACAUCAGAUCAUAAAUCGGAAGACAAAAGAAAAACACUCAGAUAUAUAUCGAUCAAAAGUAUUUCUCCACACUUCAGAAACAGAUCUAGUUAGCUAAGCUUGAAACCAGAAACAGUAUUUGACCCCAAAAAUCGAAGCAAGAGCGAUCAAGGACUGAAGGCUGAACAUUCAAAGAUAUCAGAGAAAGAAGAGUGAGUGUGAAAAUGGACCUGAGCUUAGAGACACUGGAAAUG
This 294-nucleotide unclassified non-coding RNA is filed under the name Hevea brasiliensis (rubber tree). Lineage: Eukaryota; Viridiplantae; Streptophyta; Magnoliopsida; Malpighiales; Euphorbiaceae. The record is from RNAcentral.